This 1372-nucleotide ribosomal RNA is filed under the name uncultured bacterium. RNAcentral's name for it is "bacterial SSU rRNA". It matches the Rfam family "Bacterial small subunit ribosomal RNA", at positions 28 to 1381 of the family's 1533-position model. The record is from RNAcentral.
GAUGAACGCUGGCGGCGUGCCUAAUACAUGCAAGUCGAGCGAACGGACGAGAAGCUUGCUUCUCUGAUGUUAGCGGCGGACGGGUGAGUAACACGUGGAUAACCUACCUAUAAGACUGGGAUAACUUCGGGAAACCGGAGCUAAUACCGGAUAAUAUUUUGAACCGCAUGGUUCAAAAGUGAAAGACGGUCUUGCUGUCACUUAUAGAUGGAUCCGCGCUGCAUUAGCUAGUUGGUAAGGUAACGGCUUACCAAGGCAACGAUGCAUAGCCGACCUGAGAGGGUGAUCGGCCACACUGGAACUGAGACACGGUCCAGACUCCUACGGGAGGCAGCAGUAGGGAAUCUUCCGCAAUGGGCGAAAGCCUGACGGAGCAACGCCGCGUGAGUGAUGAAGGUCUUCGGAUCGUAAAACUCUGUUAUUAGGGAAGAACAUAUGUGUAAGUAACUGUGCACAUCUUGACGGUACCUAAUCAGAAAGCCACGGCUAACUACGUGCCAGCAGCCGCGGUAAUACGUAGGUGGCAAGCGUUAUCCGGAAUUAUUGGGCGUAAAGCGCGCGUAGGCGGUUUUUUAAGUCUGAUGUGAAAGCCCACGGCUCAACCGUGGAGGGUCAUUGGAAACUGGAAAACUUGAGUGCAGAAGAGGAAAGUGGAAUUCCAUGUGUAGCGGUGAAAUGCGCAGAGAUAUGGAGGAACACCAGUGGCGAAGGCGACUUUCUGGUCUGUAACUGACGCUGAUGUGCGAAAGCGUGGGGAUCAAACAGGAUUAGAUACCCUGGUAGUCCACGCCGUAAACGAUGAGUGCUAAGUGUUAGGGGGUUUCCGCCCCUUAGUGCUGCAGCUAACGCAUUAAGCACUCCGCCUGGGGAGUACGACCGCAAGGUUGAAACUCAAAGGAAUUGACGGGGACCCGCACAGGCGGUGGAGCAUGUGGUUUAAUUCGAAGCAACGCGAAGAACCUUACCAAAUCUUGACAUCCUUUGACAACUCUAGAGAUAGAGCCUUCCCCUUCGGGGGACAAAGUGACAGGUGGUGCAUGGUUGUCGUCAGCUCGUGUCGUGAGAUGUUGGGUUAAGUCCCGCAACGAGCGCAACCCUUAAGCUUAGUUGCCAUCAUUAAGUUGGGCACUCUAAGUUGACUGCCGGUGACAAACCGGAGGAAGGUGGGGAUGACGUCAAAUCAUCAUGCCCCUUAUGAUUUGGGCUACACACGUGCUACAAUGGACAAUACAAAGGGCAGCGAAACCGCGAGGUCAAGCAAAUCCCAUAAAGUUGUUCUCAGUUCGGAUUGUAGUCUGCAACUCGACUACAUGAAGCUGGAAUUGCUAGUAAUCGUAGAUCAGCAUGCUACGGUGAAUACGUUCCCGGGUCU